UACGUAGGCAGCGAGCGUUGUUCGGAGUUACUGGGCGUAAAGCGUGCGUAGGCGGUGUCUUAAGUUUGUUGUGAAAUCUCCCGGCUUAACCGGGAGGGUGCGGCGAAUACUGAGAUGCUGGAGUGCCGGAGAGGUAAGCGGAAUUCCUGGUGUAGCGGUGAAAUGCGUAGAUAUCAGGAGGAACGCCAAUAGCGAAGGCAGCUCGCUGGGACGUUACUGACACUGAGGCGCGAAAGCGUGGGGAGCGAACAGG
This 253-nucleotide ribosomal RNA is filed under the name uncultured bacterium. Its description in RNAcentral is "partial 16S ribosomal RNA". It matches the Rfam family "Bacterial small subunit ribosomal RNA", at positions 524 to 776 of the family's 1533-position model. The record is from RNAcentral.